UUAGAGUUUGAUCCUGGCUCAGAUUGAACGCUGGCGGCAGGCCUAACACAUGCAAGUCGAGCGGUAACAUUUCUAGCUUGCUAGAAGAUGACGAGCGGCGGACGGGUGAGUAAUGCUUGGGAACAUGCCUUGAGGUGGGGGACAACAGUUGGAAACGACUGCUAAUACCGCAUAAUGUCUACGGACCAAAGGGGGCUUCGGCUCUCGCCUUUAGAUUGGCCCAAGUGGGAUUAGCUAGUUGGUGAGGUAAUGGCUCACCAAGGCGACGAUCCCUAGCUGGUUUGAGAGGAUGAUCAGCCACACUGGGACUGAGACACGGCCCAGACUCCUACGGGAGGCAGCAGUGGGGAAUAUUGCACAAUGGGCGCAAGCCUGAUGCAGCCAUGCCGCGUGUGUGAAGAAGGCCUUCGGGUUGUAAAGCACUUUCAGUCAGGAGGAAAGGUUAGUAGUUAAUACCUGCUAGCUGUGACGUUACUGACAGAAGAAGCACCGGCUAACUCCGUGCCAGCAGCCGCGGUAAUCUCCAGGCACAGCUAGGGCCUUUCCG
Molecule: ribosomal RNA, 547 nt
Filed under: uncultured Pseudoalteromonas sp.
Lineage: Bacteria; Pseudomonadati; Pseudomonadota; Gammaproteobacteria; Alteromonadales; Pseudoalteromonadaceae
Description: bacterial SSU rRNA
Rfam family: Bacterial small subunit ribosomal RNA
Source: RNAcentral